Molecule: long non-coding RNA, 684 nt
Filed under: Pan troglodytes (chimpanzee)
Lineage: Eukaryota; Metazoa; Chordata; Mammalia; Primates; Hominidae
Description: long non-coding RNA NONPTRT000750
Source: RNAcentral
GGGCAUCUACCCUGUACCCAUACUACUGUGACAGCUCAGGGCAAGGGGAAAAACGGCAAGCAUCUGUGGACUCAAGGAUCACAGAGCUUCUCACAGAAAGAAGGGAUGGAACAUUGCUCACGAUUAAGUGGACUCCCAAUCGAGUGAUUUUCCAUUCCUGGUGAAGUGGUCGCAGUGAGGGUCACCGGGACUAUCCCUCAGGCAUCAGGAAAAAUACAGACCCAAACAGAAGCAGUGUCUGCCCACGGGCCAGCAAGUGCCGAAAUAUCACGGGUCCUGUUCUGAUGCGGGGUUCUCCUCCCUUAGGAGGAGAAGGAAGAGGAGGAGAGAAGCUGAAGUUGUUGAUUGAGCUCUCAGCGUUGACAUGAGGAGUCCAUGAAACAAUCUACAGGAAGGCACCCCAAACGAAGCCUGGCUAGGAGUAGACAUUCAAUAGGUGCAUGGCACCCUGCCUUCCAGAGACAAGGUUCCCAACAACUGUGCUGAAUGAAUGGAGGAAAAAUGAACCCAAACCAAGAACACAAAUCCUUGUGUGUGAACAUAAACCUACUUCCAAAAUUCUUGAGGAAUCCCUAACUCAAGUCCCCCAAGUCCUGUUUGGUUGUGCACAGAAAGAGAUAUUACAAGAGGAGCUGUGGGAACCUGAAAAAAUGAGUGGGGAGUGGCAGUCCCUUCUUAUUAAUG